ACGUAGGAGGAAAACGUUAUCCGGAUUUAAUGGGCGUAAAGCGAGUGUAGGUGGUUUGGUAAGUAGAGCGUGAAAGCUCCUGACUCAACUGGGAGAGGACGUUCUAAACUGCCGGACAAGAGGAUGGUAGAGGAAGGUGGAAUUCCGUGUGUUGCGAUUGAAUGCACAAAUGACCGGAGGAGCACGGUUGGCGAUGACGUUGACCUAGUCCAUUCGUAACAGUCGAACGCGAGAUCUGGGUCAUCUAAUAU
RNAcentral lists this ribosomal RNA (251 nucleotides) under uncultured prokaryote. RNAcentral's name for it is "partial 16S rRNA". It matches the Rfam family "Bacterial small subunit ribosomal RNA", at positions 525 to 775 of the family's 1533-position model. The record is from RNAcentral.